Molecule: long non-coding RNA, 304 nt
Organism: Sapajus apella (tufted capuchin)
Lineage: Eukaryota; Metazoa; Chordata; Mammalia; Primates; Cebidae
Exons: 4
Source: RefSeq, a predicted model, not a curated record
AAGAAACAUAUUAACUAUGGGAUAGUAUAUUCAUGCAUAUUAUGAAACAUAUUAACUAUGAAGCAUGAAUAAUUGCAUUAGGUUGCAUUAGGGACUCCUUUCUGAUAGGAUGUUGAAAAUAAUCAUAAGGGGAAAGAGAAUGAGUGAUACAAUUAUAUGAAAUGAAAAAAUAAAUGAUGGAGAAGACCAUGGACUCAGAAUGAGGUAGACUCAAAGGCACAGCAUUGGUGUGGGAGUAUUAAUUUUCCAUAAAAAAAUUAAAGUUUUGGCUCAUGUCUGUAAUUCCAGCGCUUUGGGAGGUCAG